UCACUGCCUACCACCCACAUAAAAUGUAAACUCUCUGAGGGCAGGGAUUUUUUUUUCUUUGCUCAUGUCUGAGACACUGCUCAUAUGUACUCAUUUACUAUUUAUUGAAUAAAUACAUUAAUGAAGAAAUGAACUGAUGGAUGACUGGAGCUGAAGAAAAAAGAAUACAUUCUCUUAGGUUGUGAAAAUAACACAUAUUAAUCUAAGUACUAAGACUAGUUUCCUUUCCCUUGAUGGGGAAUGAAGUAAAGGGCCAAAACAAUCCCAAGGUUUGGAUAUAGGAAAGAAGCUUGUAACAACACAGCUAAAUUGACUUGAAGAAACUGAGAAUUGAGUCUCAAGAAGCUACUAAUAGGACAAUUUAAUCAAUGCCACUCUUGCUUUGGAAGUCUCCUUAAAUACAGGUGAUAGUACUGCAUGUGAAAUGAUGGAUUUUCUUACUUCAUUUGUAUAUUUAAAAAAAUAUAUAUGAAGAAACUGGAGAGUAGGUGUAGGUGUUUUUAGAGGAUGCUUUUAUCUAUGGUUCAGAAUGAUCUUUUCUCUCUUUUGCUAAUUAACAAAACUUAGAGCCAGAUUGUAGUUCACUUUCUGCAGGUAUAGAGCACUUAGGAAAUCCAUUUUGUGUAUAUCCAAUUCAAAGAGGAUUAAUUUAAAACUAAAGCAAGGAAGAUAGUAAUACAUUUUAAAUACAUAUAAACCAUUCCCAGACUAAGUCUGCUUAAAUAUUUGACAAAAUUUGGGAAUCUUAUGGUGGCCAUGAAUUCAGCCAUCCUCUUUGGUGAUAAGCAAAAAAUACAGGAACAAAGAGAUUAAAUGGACAGCAUUCACUUCCCAUUUGUUACAUCAAUGUUCUUAUUGUUCAAUAUAAUGAAGAAGGAAAUCAGUCCCACUGAUAGACUACAGAGGUAAUAGCAGGGCUGGACGACGCCAUUGAGAGGCUCUGGGAAAACAUGGCAGGGAUUUCUGAUUUGGAGCAUGAGGGCAUACUUGCACAGACUACGGACUCUGUUUCUGUAUUCUAAAACUUGAGAUGCUCGGAAGAGCAUCAGAAGUUUGGUGAUUCUAAGAAGUAUGUUUAGCAAUUAACACAAACUCUGAGAAAUAUUUGGAGAAAGGAAGAUUGUCUAUAGCAUAGGGAAUAAACAGAAACCUGGAGAAUAUGGACAUCAGAGAGAGGAGAGUUUUGGGACCAGUGGAUAAGGAAAGGGCAACUAAAAUAAAUAAAUAAAUAAAUAAAUAAAUAAAUAAAUAAAUAAAUAAUUAAAUAAAUAGUGUCUCAGUGGUUUAGCGCCACCUGCGGCCCAGGGCGUGAUCCUGGAGACCUGAGUCAGGCUUCCUGCAUGGAGCUGCUUCUCCAUCUGCCUGUGUCUCUGCACCACUCUCCCGCCCCCUGUCUCUCAUGAAUAAAUAAGUAAUUUUUUUUUUUUUUAAAGAAAGGCCAACUACACAAAUAAAUAUGGGUCCAGUCCAUUUAUAUUAUGUUCAAGAGAACAUGGGCUCCCCAUCUCUAAGUCUCAAUUUAUUAAACUCCUAUUUGCCAGAACACAGUUUAUGAACACAAGAAUUUAAGGAACAUUGGCAGGAUCCCAACAUUUUUUUCCAGCCUUAUAGUUGUAACUAGGUUGUAUUUAAGGACAUAACCUGUACAGUUUAAUGAGGAUAAAUACAUUUUGAAUAAAUAUUUUAAACACACACAAUAAACCUCAAAACCAAAUGUUCCUAACAAAAUAAUAUCUCUGUCCACGGUGAUGUGGUGCAGAAUUUCAAUCACCCAUCGAAAGGAUUUUAGUUCACUGCACUCCUCACUCUAUUUUUUCUCUCUACCAUGAACACCUCCAUAUGUUGAACAUUUUAAAAUUUAUUUUAAUUUGGUGAUAGACUAUUAGUACUUGUGAAAAGAUAACACAUAUCAUGAUUGAAAUCAUUAAAAUGACUGAUUAUCACAUUUUUAUUUAAAAAAAAAAACAGAUUUUCCUCAAAAGCAGAGUGCAAAUAAGAGACCAUUUGUUAUAUUCAGUGUAGCUUUUUCAGCCAAUAUGCCUGAGCUGUUGCUGUUGAUCGGGAGACACUCGUGAUGGAUUCUUGGCAUCCACCUCACUGUUUGCCAAUUUCUGAUUUUUUUGGUUUCUCAAUGUGUGGUCAGUAUCAUCACUUCAGUACUUACAACCUGGACUGUGACCUUCCAAUUACAAUCAGAAUCCAGAUCUGUAUUUGCAGAUCCCAGGAUGAGAGUGUCAAUAUAGACCAUUAUCCUAUGUUUCCAAAUACUAAAAAGUUCUGAUCUUCUGACAUUAGCAAGUAGCUCUUUAUGAUAUCUAGAAGAAGGCCAGGUUAAAAUGCAGAAUUUCAGGCUUCUGUGUUUUCCUCUAGGAUGUAGUAGAGUAGCGGGAACCAGUUCCCUGACUCACGCCUGCCACUGUCAUCUUCCAACUGUUCACUCCAUCUUGACCAUGAUGUGCAUAUCCAUAGGCACGUACAUGGCUAUGGCUACCUUGUUUCUACAAACCAAGGUCUGUCAACACUCACUCAAGUAACUACACUUUGUUUGGCUUCAUGCUUAGUAAUUUGACCAUGGGAAGUGGGCAGGACUUGAAAGUAGGCUUGGAGUCAUUUGGAUAAGCAAUGCAGAGAUCCCAGAUACCUUGGAUCCUCUUGGCCGAAAUAGGGAGGCAUGCGAUCCAAGUGAAAAUGUCCUUUAGUCUUUGAGACUCUGUUCUAUGGAGUUUCAAAACAUUCAGAGGAGGGUCAGAGUGGGUUCCUCAGGCCUUUGUCCAUGCAUAUGCAUGUUACUGUUUAGGCCCAUAUUUCUUAGAAUUACUGGUAGGAGUAAGAUAACAACAGAGUUGAAAUUGAAUUAAGUCACAAAACGCUGAAUUCUAAAUUUUUAUCAAUUGUGCUAUUAUUAUUAUUAUUAUUAUUGCUAUAACUACUCAGUAUAGUACUGAAAUCCGGUUGUGGUUUUUAUCUAAAUAGAUUAAUAUCUAUCUAAAUAGAUAAAUAAAAAGAUAAAUAUCUUUUUUAAAAAGCUUUAUUGAUGUGUAAUUGAUAUACCAAAACCCCCACAUUUAAUAUAUAUGCCAAAAAAUCUUUAAGAAAAUAUAUCUGUUAUGUAUCAUGUAUGGCAUAGAUGUAUAGGAGGGAUAUCAAUUUUGUAGCUCUUCAUUAUUAUUCCUCUUUUAGCUUUCUCUUUCCUCAAAUUCCUAAAAUUCUUCUUGUAUAGAGAUGCCACUAAGUGAGGAAUAUUGGUAGGACAUUCAUGAAAUGUGACUGAUAGAAUAAUUGAAUUCAUACAAUUCAUUUAACUAGUAAGAAAACUAUAAUAGUUUCCAGAGGGACUUAUAUGUGUGUUUUUCCUAUAUCAGUGCUGGAUUUCGUUACCUCAUACAAGAGAAUGAGUAGGGUUACUAUAUGAUCUAAUACCAAGGAAAAGAGAAAUUCCUUUUGAUUUCAAUAGUUGAGUUAAUUCUCUAAAGUAACAGCUGUAAGAGAUGUCUUAAUGAUAUCAGAAAACUUAAAAAUCUCACUAAAAUUAUGAAAUUUAAAAAGUAGAUUCACAGAUUCUAAAUUUAGUUCUCCUGUCAUUCAGAUUCAUUUGUUAAAUUCCUCAUGACAGUAGAAUACUGGUUUUGAUUUAGCAAGAUUACAUGAAAUUAAUCAAAAUAUUCUAAAUAAUGAACUCUUUUUCUUCUUGGAAGUGAUUUAUGUUUUUGCUUUGUUCAAAAUUGGAUCAAUAUGUUUUUUUGCCCAGCAUCCUUACAUUGUUAUUAAGUUCAGGAUCUGUUUAUUCUGAGUAAAUUCUCUAAAUAAAUUAUAAUUAUAAUUGAAUAUC
RNAcentral lists this long non-coding RNA (3829 nucleotides) under Canis lupus familiaris (dog). RNAcentral's name for it is "lncRNA (ENSCAFG00000051704.1)". Lineage: Eukaryota; Metazoa; Chordata; Mammalia; Carnivora; Canidae. The record is from RNAcentral.